GUACACCAGAAGUAGUGCCCUUCCUCUCGAAGGUUGGGGAGAAAGACAUGUGUGUGUAACUCUUAUCAACCCAGAACUCAAGUGGUCCAGUUUUGGGUCCAUGUUAUGGUUACUAACGCACAAAAUAAAUUUGGAAAAGAACAUACAAAUCUUUUCUUGUAUUUUUCUUGAAAAUCAUGAAGGAGGUCUAUAAUUUGCAAUAACGAAUUCAAAAGUCCUUUUCAUCUUCAUUCUACCUCCUUCACAGCCUCUGCUGUUGUCUGCUGUAUUGCUCUCCAGAAUUUUCUCAGAUUGCAGAAAUCUCCCUCCUCCCGUCUAUUUAUUUUUAUCACGUAAAUCAACUUAGCCUCUCUUUCCAGCAAAAAGGUCCAAUCAAAUUCCCCAACCCUGUCCCAAAUGAAGGGUGCGGAACUGAGCUGGCAAUUACAGACUAUUCUUUGGCAGUAUUCUGGGAAAGGGAAAAGUAUGAAUUUUCUUGCCCUGUCCCUGGUAUUUUGUAAAGCUUUCCAAGUGACUUCGAUAUCUGGACCCUUUUGAGAACUGCCGCUGUUAACCAAGACAUAAAGCUUUUUCAUUUCUUGAAAGGUCCUAUUUCUUGGCAAAUUUCUCCCUGCAAAGUGCAUUCUUUUUUCUGCACUGACCCCAGAAACAGGUGCCAUUGUGUGGGAGACAGCACCUGUCAUCUGUCUCAACAAAGUCCACAAAGUGCCCUGCUAGGAGCAGAUAACCCAGAACAUCUACCUGAGUCUCCCAGUCAAGAUUCCUGGUCUGACUAGGAAUCUAACUUCAACAAGAUCUUCCUGAAAAAAGACGCUGAGCUUGGACGGUCCAACCACCUCCCUACCUGGGAUAAGCCGGAGGAUGCUUCUUGGCUUCCCCAAAGCUGUCUUGGUGGUGAUGCUGUGGCAACCACAGGGGAGAUUCACGAGGAGAAAGCCUGGAAGACCAGAGCCCUGGAAGUGGGGCAGCCAGCCCAGCGGGACAUUCGUAGGGGCGAGGUGUGAUCUCAGCCUUCAUUCAGCUGGCCUGGGAGUCCUCCAAGGGUCAGAGUCACACCUUACUAGUCUGACCCCUCAAGGUUCCUUAGGACUCCAGGUGUUUUAAGAAGAUUCUCUGAACCCCCACCCUUCCCACUUCACCCCUCAGCCCUCCCUGUGGUUAAGAACCCAAGUGUGAACAACCCCAAGUUUGGUGGUUAGUGAGGCCUUCAAGCACAAACCCUAAUCCUGCCCUUUUAAAAAAAAUAUUUUGGACUUAAGGGAGGCUGUCCUCAAUUGUUUCAAACCUAUUUCAGAGUACCUCCACUCCUUCAAACCUAUUUUCAAAACUCAGGAAAACGUCGCCUUUCCAGACGAACUCUAGUGACAGCUCCAUUCACCCCUUGGCAUUUGACUGCUAAAGAUCAGCUGACCCCUGCAGCCAGAAGGAGGAGAGAAAAUUGCUAAAUGGGGACCUCAUUUCCAGAGGUGAUCACCUUAAAAAAGUCUGGGGCCUUGUUUGCCAGCUUUGAAAUCUCAAAGGGUAAUCUUAGCUUCAUGUCCCCAGUGUGAAUAAAACAAACAAUAAAAACCACCUAUGAAAUCUAAAUUCAAACUUUCUUGCGACCUAUGCAUCAUUUUUUUGCAUUCACAUUCCCAGUCAAAACACAGACACACACACACACACACCCAACAGAUAUAUAACUGCAUGUAAAAUAUAUAUAGAUAAAACAAUGUCCUCUGAAGAAUAUAAAUGUUAACACAAGUAAAAUUAUCAUGAAUUCCAUAACUCCUUCUGUGGCCUUGGUCCACGUUAGGUUUUCCAUUAAGAGAUACUAUUGUCAUCAGUGAGUAGCUUCUCCUGUUGUAUUCUUCUGUGUAGCACGGGGCUGGAGCUGUGGAUAUUUAUGAACCCCAGGCACCCACUUCCUGUUUUCGUGGCUGUCCCCGGUCCCUGCCUCUGUGCCGUUUUCUCUGCCUUUGGCCACCAGAUGGCGCUCUGGAAACGAGUUUUCUGCAUCAAAGCUCCCCUGCAUUACUCUCAACUAGGCUCCCUCCCUCUUCUCUGUUCCCUUCCAAGCCAUUUUCCAGGGUGCAGCCAAAAGGCCUUUCUGGAGGGCACAUCUGUGUGAUCUUGGGCAAGUUACCUAACGCUGUGUGCUCAGCAUCUUCAAUGUGAUGGUAUGGCUGUGAGUGCGUCAUGAGAGGAUGUAGGUAAAGCACUUAGGACAAGGCCUGGCAUGUGGUCGCUGUUCUCAUUAUCCUGCGUAGAGCUUUUCAAAAGCACUCCACGACCUUCAGGACAAGGUCUAAAUUCUUAGCCAUGGGAACCCAGGCCACUGCAUCAUCUGAGGACCCCUGCUUAUGUCCCCUGCCCAACCUUCCUCCCUACACUACUGCACUGACCCUCUUGCAGCACAGCCAGGAGCCAGCCUGCCCACUUCGGGGCCUUUGCCCAUUUUGCCCCUGCCACCAGCUUUGCCUGUCUCCUGCCUAUUCAACUUCCUCGGGCUCACUCCUCCAGGUCCGUCAGGAUUCAGCGUGUGCCCUCCAUGAGGAGCCUCCCGGACCCCCAGGCCUGAUUCCAGAGCCAUUCUACUGGCCUCUCGCCUUUCAUUUUCCCUGCCCCCACCUGCGACUGUCAGCCCCUUGCCUUGUUCACUGUCAGGCACACAGGGGGACGAUUGCGGGGCGGAUAGUGAGACUGUCACGUGGGCUGCCAGCAGGGGGCAAUGGGCACCCUUGUGUCCCUGAGCUCCCAGGGGCUCCUAGUAGCUUAGGCAGCACCUUGCCCACACCAAGCUGAGGGAGACCUGAGAAAUGGGAUUCCUGCCAAAGAGGCAAAGAAAAAAGUGAAGGGACAAAUGCAAGGCCAUCUUUGCCAUUUGCGUAUGAGGCAUAAAACUUGGAAGAUAAUAAACAGCAAAAUCAUAGUCCUUAUGUGCUGAGUGCUUUCUCUGAGCCAGGCCCUGUGCUGAGUCCUUACCCCACCUUGUGAGAUCGAUGACAGCCCUCAGAGAAGGAAACAGAGGCUAGGAGAGGUUAAGUCCCUUGUGCAGUGUCUCAGAGCUUGUGAGUGGCCUGUCUGUCUCCAGGGCCAUGCUGUAGGAGGUGGCCCUGGAUUCAGGCCCCUUGCUAUGGUUUAAUGGGUUUCAGUGAAAUAGUUGGGAAACCUCAGGAGUGGGAUAUGGAGUUAAGGGAAAGAAAAGCCAGAGAGAAAGGGAAGGAGUGCAGGUGACUGUCCCUUAGCCACCCCAGUCCUGAUGACCACAGGCCUCCAUGCCAAUAAGCCCUGACUAGUGCCACUUGGGUCCAAACAUGGCAUCUCUGGCCCCAAGGGCUUAGUAGCAAACACCCAUCUAGGGAAGCUGGCGUUCAUUCUCAUCACCUCAAAUGCUUCAUGAGCCUCAGGGAUCAACCUUGAAGUGGGUAUAAGGCUGGGAGAAUGUUGGGGGCAGCAAACUGAAGGGCACAAUAAGAAGCAAUAAGGCCACCUCAAAGCCCACCCAAGCAAACUGCUCAUUCACCUCCUUCCUUCCUGAAUUUCACCUUAUGAGGAGGUGAGUGGAAGAUAGGGUAUCCCUUAAAACAUCUAAAAGGAGAGUUGGGGGCAGCAAAGGAGAUGUGCUUCACGGGACUCUUAUAAACAAAACUGGGGAGAGAAGAAUUGGAGGAAGGGGGAAAGACAUAGAUGAAAGGGAGGGGAAGGUGUGGGAGAGGGAAACGUAUAAAAGCUUCCAAGAGGAGUGGGAGGCUGGGGGUUCCCCAGACAGAGACUCAGUCUGGACCAGAUGCAGAGAACAAUGGACUUCAAGGCUGGAGGGGGGCAGAAGGGAAGCGGGAGGAGAGCCACACGGUCAAGUUGCACAGGUUCUUGCAGCUUCUGGAAUCAAGACCAUGGGCACCCUCAUAAGUCAGUGUGGGCAGGGACUGCCCCAGGGCCAAUCCAAGAUCCAGAGGUAGCCAUAGGGUGUGACAAGUUGUGCAGAUUACAACACUCACCCCUUGCAAUAACGUCACUGCCUGUGACUCGGGGCCAGGCCCAGGCCAAAGCCCUUCCUACAUCAUUUCGUUUAAUCCUCACAGUUUCCUGCUGAAAGGGCUACUAUUCUUACUCCCAUCCCCACUCUACAGAUGAGGUAAUGGAGGCCCAGGAAAGUUAAGUGACUUGUCCCAGAUGACACCGCUGGUAAGUUGCAAAGUCAGAAUUUGAACUCAGGCAGUUUACCUCUGAUGGCUGCUCUGUUAAUCACAGCUGCUUUCCAGUGAGACAAAAACGGGUGAUCAGGGCAGAGUCAAGACAGAGAGGUAAACAAGAUUGGGAAAAAGACAGGAAUGAGAGGGGAACAAUGGGGGAAAAGAUAGGAACAAAGAGAGUUGGGGAAGGGGAGAGAAACAGGAAACAUGACUUGCCCGGGAGGGGCAUCAGUCCACGUGCAAGCAGGUGGAGGCUCAAGUUUUCUGCUCACUUGGUGAUGCAGAGGCUCCCUUUCCCUCAGCAGCCGCCUUGCUGCGUGGACAGCAGCUUCCCAUCUGGCCUGUCCCCGGAGCCCCGGCCUCAUCCUCCUCAGCGGCAGGCCACUUAGCUUCACAGGAAAUGCUCUUUCUCUAAUUGGCAUUGAAACUCACAGCCCUCCCUUUUCCUGUAGGUGGGGUUUCCAUAGGAAAAAGCUGCUUCUCUGUUUCCCCAGCCUAGCAACUGUUUGGCAGUCAGAGUCCCACAUCCUGCUCAACUGGGUCAGGUCCCUCUUAGACCAGCUCUUGUCCAUCAUUUGCUGAAGUGGACCAACUAGUUCCCCAGUAGGGGGUCUCCCCUGGCAAUUCUUGAUCGGCGUUUGGACAUCUCAGAUCGCUUCCAAUGAAGAUGGCCUUGCCUUGGGGUCCUGCUUGUUUCAUAAUCAUCUAACUAUGGGACAAGGUUGUGCCGGCAGCUCUGGGGGAAGGAGCACGGGGCUGAUCAAGCCAUCCAGGAAACACUGGAGGACUUGUCCAGCCUUGAAAGAACUCUAGUGGUUUCUGAAUCUAGCCCACUUGGCGGUAAGCAUGAUGCAACUUCUGCAACUUCUGCUGGGGCUUUUGGGGCCAGGUGGCUACUUAUUUCUUUUAGGGGAUUGUCAGGAGGUGACCACUCUCACGGUGAAAUACCAAGUGUCAGAGGAAGUGCCAUCUGGUACAGUGAUCGGGAAGCUGUCCCAGGAACUGGGCCGGGAGGAGAGGCGGAGGCAAGCUGGGGCUGCCUUCCAGGUGUUGCAGCUGCCUCAGGCGCUCCCCAUUCAGGUGGACUCUGAGGAAGGCUUGCUCAGCACAGGCAGGCGGCUGGAUCGAGAGCAGCUGUGCCGACAGUGGGAUCCCUGCCUGGUUUCCUUUGAUGUGCUUGCCACAGGGGAUUUGGCUCUGAUCCAUGUGGAGAUCCAAGUGCUGGACAUCAAUGACCACCAGCCACGGUUUCCCAAAGGCGAGCAGGAGCUGGAAAUCUCUGAGAGCGCCUCUCUGCGAACCCGGAUCCCCCUGGACAGAGCUCUUGACCCAGACACAGGCCCUAACACCCUGCACACCUACACUCUGUCUCCCAGUGAGCACUUUGCCUUGGAUGUCAUUGUGGGCCCUGAUGAGACCAAACAUGCAGAACUCAUAGUGGUGAAGGAGCUGGACAGGGAAAUCCAUUCAUUUUUUGAUCUGGUGUUAACUGCCUAUGACAAUGGGAACCCCCCCAAGUCAGGUACCAGCUUGGUCAAGGUCAACGUCUUGGACUCCAAUGACAAUAGCCCUGCGUUUGCUGAGAGUUCACUGGCACUGGAAAUCCAAGAAGAUGCUGCACCUGGUACGCUUCUCAUAAAACUGACCGCCACAGACCCUGACCAAGGCCCCAAUGGGGAGGUGGAGUUCUUCCUCAGUAAGCACAUGCCUCCAGAGGUGCUGGACACCUUCAGUAUUGAUGCCAAGACAGGCCAGGUCAUUCUGCGUCGACCUCUAGACUAUGAAAAGAACCCUGCCUACGAGGUGGAUGUUCAGGCAAGGGACCUGGGUCCCAAUCCUAUCCCAGCCCAUUGCAAAGUUCUCAUCAAGGUUCUGGAUGUCAAUGACAACAUCCCAAGCAUCCACGUCACAUGGGCCUCCCAGCCAUCACUGGUGUCAGAAGCUCUUCCCAAGGACAGUUUUAUUGCUCUUGUCAUGGCAGAUGACUUGGAUUCAGGACACAAUGGUUUGGUCCACUGCUGGCUGAGCCAAGAGCUGGGCCACUUCAGGCUGAAAAGAACUAAUGGCAACACAUACAUGUUGCUAACCAAUGCCACACUGGACAGAGAGCAGUGGCCCAAAUAUACCCUCACUCUGUUAGCCCAAGACCAAGGACUCCAGCCCUUAUCAGCCAAGAAACAGCUCAGCAUUCAGAUCAGUGACAUCAACGACAAUGCACCUGUGUUUGAGAAAAGCAGGUAUGAAGUCUCCACGCGGGAAAACAACUUACCCUCUCUUCACCUCAUUACCAUCAAGGCUCAUGAUGCAGACUUGGGCAUUAAUGGAAAAGUCUCAUACCGCAUCCAGGACUCCCCAGUUGCUCACUUAGUAGCUAUUGACUCCAACACAGGAGAGGUCACUGCUCAGAGGUCACUGAACUAUGAAGAGAUGGCCGGCUUUGAGUUCCAGGUGAUCGCAGAGGACAGCGGGCAACCCAUGCUUGCAUCCAGUGUCUCUGUGUGGGUCAGCCUCUUGGAUGCCAAUGAUAAUGCCCCAGAGGUGGUCCAGCCUGUGCUCAGCGAUGGAAAAGCCAGCCUCUCCGUGCUUGUGAAUGCCUCCACAGGCCACCUGCUGGUGCCCAUCGAGACUCCCAAUGGCUUGGGCCCAGCGGGCACUGACACACCUCCACUGGCCACUCACAGCUCCCGGCCAUUCCUUUUGACAACCAUUGUGGCAAGAGAUGCAGACUCGGGGGCAAAUGGAGAGCCCCUCUACAGCAUCCGCAGUGGAAAUGAAGCCCACCUCUUCAUCCUCAACCCUCAUACGGGGCAGCUGUUCGUCAAUGUCACCAAUGCCAGCAGCCUCAUUGGGAGUGAGUGGGAGCUGGAGAUAGUAGUAGAGGACCAGGGAAGCCCCCCCUUACAGACCCGAGCCCUGUUGAGGGUCAUGUUUGUCACCAGUGUGGACCACCUGAGGGACUCAGCCCGCAAGCCUGGGGCCUUGAGCAUGUCGAUGCUGACGGUGAUCUGCCUGGCUGUACUGUUGGGCAUCUUCGGGUUGAUCCUGGCUUUGUUCAUGUCCAUCUGCCGGACAGAAAAGAAGGACAACAGGGCCUACAACUGUCGGGAGGCCGAGUCCACCUACCGCCAGCAGCCCAAGAGGCCCCAGAAACACAUUCAGAAGGCAGACAUCCACCUCGUGCCUGUGCUCAGGGGUCAGGCAGGUGAGCCUUGUGAAGUCGGGCAGUCCCACAAAGAUGUGGACAAGGAGGCGAUGAUGGAAGCAGGCUGGGACCCCUGCCUGCAGGCCCCCUUCCACCUCACCCCGACCCUGUACAGGACGCUGCGUAAUCAAGGCAACCAGGGAGCACCGGCGGAGAGCCGAGAGGUGCUGCAAGACACGGUCAACCUCCUUUUCAACCAUCCCAGGCAGAGGAAUGCCUCCCGGGAGAACCUGAACCUUCCCGAGCCCCAGCCUGCCACAGGCCAGCCACGUUCCAGGCCUCUGAAGGUUGCAGGCAGCCCCACAGGGAGGCUGGCUGGAGACCAGGGCAGUGAGGAAGCCCCACAGAGGCCACCAGCCUCCUCUGCAACCCUGAGACGGCAGCGACAUCUCAAUGGCAAAGUGUCCCCUGAGAAAGAAUCAGGGCCCCGUCAGAUCCUGCGGAGCCUGGUCCGGCUGUCUGUGGCUGCCUUCGCCGAGCGGAACCCCGUGGAGGAGCUCACUGUGGAUUCUCCUCCUGUUCAGGUACCUGGGGCAUGGGCAGCUCUUUCUCUGGUCACUCCUGGACCACCAGAAACAGAAUCAGACACCCCCAUAACCUGCACAGUCCUCAUGUUUCUUCCUUAGGCUCACCUGGCACUUUCUGAUGCUUUGGGUAGCAAUGGUUCAGGGCACAGCUUUGUGAUCGGCUGAACUUAGCUGUGUGAUCCUAGGCAAAUUCCUUACUGUCUCUGGGCCUUAGUUGUCUUAUCUGUAAAUUAGAGAUGAUAGUAAGAGUAUCUACCUUGUAGAGUUGUCCAGAGGAUUUGAUCAAUUAAUUCCUAUAAGGCAUUUAUGGUGCCUCACAAGUAGACACACAGCAAAGGUAGUGAUUAAGAGUAUAAGCUUUGGGCAAGGUUACCUGGGUUCAAAUCCUGGCUCCACUUCUUCCUAGCUCUGAACCACAGAGGAAGUUAACAUCUCUGUUGAAGAUGUCUAUGUUAACACCACCCAUCUUCUAAGUUUGCUUGAAAAUAAAAUGAGUGAAUGCUCUUAAUGCCUGUAGAACAGUGUCCAUCUGACAUGUAGUCAGUACUCAGCAAAUUAUUACUAUUACUUCCUCAAAGCACUUCUCCAUCUCCACUAUUUGCCUGCCUUCAUCUCAUCUGGGCAACUUCCCUAUGAAGAAGGCCAGCAUAGGCAUCAUUGCACCCAAACCCAGGUGUUGCAAAUAAUUUGUCUGAGACCCCAGAGCUUUCCGGCUGGGCCUGCGGAUGGGGCAGUGGAAAUUACCUUAGAACUUAGCAGUUAGGCAGAUUGGAGUUCAGAUUUCAACACAGCCACUUAGGAGCUGGGCAACCUUGUACACGUCCUUCAACAUCUGAGCCUCAUUUUCCUCAUCUAUAAAAUGGGGAUUAUGAGACCAAACUUACCCUGUGUCUGCCUCCUUAGAGUGUGAGGGCUAAAUGGGAUGAUGAGUGUCAAAAUGUCUAAGGACCUGGGAUUUUCUAGACACAAGUGGGGAAACCUUUCCAGGGAUGAUGCCUGAUCUCACACCCAUAUCUGCUUCUGUGAACCUCAGAUAUUUUCACUGUGCCAGGCUGCCCGCCCAAGGCACACUUCUGUUUGGCCAGGCUAUCAGCUCAGGUUUCCUGUGAAGCAAAACACAGUUUCCUUCCCUAUUCCCUCCUCAGGAAGCCACCUGGAGAUGGCCCAGCUGUUCUCUUAGGAAUCUUGCCCUGGGAUCGGUGCAGACCCAGAGGCUGCCAGAGCCAACCAUUCAUUUAUCCUUCCAUUCAUCCAUCCAUUUAUCAGGUGCUUUUUGGAUAAACUCUGUGCUGAACACUGUGCUGGCUGCUGGUAGACAGGACAACAGAGAAUAGGCCCUGUGGGUGACCCCGCUGAGGUGACAGAAAGAAAGGUGCCCAUUUGGGAUCAACUUGAGGGUAACAGGCAACUUGCCCAAUGCUCAUAUCUUUCCAGCAGCACAUAGAGUCAGAUCUGAGUGUAAAUUCCAGCCCUCCCACUAAUUUCUGUGUAGCCCCUGUGAGCCUCCAAUUCCACCUCUGCAAAAUGGCCAUAAUGGUAUCUCUUCCCUUAGGCUGUUGUAAGAAUUAAAUGAGAUUAUACACCACUGGACAAUCACUGUUUAUCAUGGGAUUUAUUAAUAAGCUCAUUUAAACCUCGUAACCCACCAUAUGACCUGGGUCUCAUUAAUAUGCACUUUUUUUACUGUUGAGGAAACUGAGUAAUUUUCUCAGAAUGCUUAAGUAAUUCCUCAAGGCCACACUGAUGGGAACUGGGGCAGGGACAUAUUUAGGAUUUGAACCUGAGUCUGACUGAUUCGAGUCUGGGCUGUAACUGUGAAGUGACCCUGAAUGACAGUGCUCAGCAUAGGGCUUGGCAUGUAGGGAGUCAUGUCAUGAAAAGGCAGCUGUCACUUGAGCAAAGGGUGGCAGGUAUCUUAGGAGGGCUUCUGGGCCUGGGCUGGGAGGUGGGAUCUUCCCUGAGGCAGGCAAUAAGACCCCGAGUCUCCCAAGUCACAGUGAAACCCCAGUCCUGGCCAUCUCCUCUUCCAACUCUCCUCUGAGGUUGACACUUCCUACCUCAAGCUGCACAGAGGGGCAUGGUGGACCUCCUAAGGGAGGAAUGGGGAUGGACCCAGGAGGAGGAAGCAGUGUUUCUAGGAAUAACAGUGCAAACUCCUUGCUUUUGCAGAGGAUUUUUAACUUUUUCAAACCAUUUAAUCGUGACAACACUGAGAAGAAGGCGUGUGGGUAUUUCUAGCCCCCUAUUAGAGAUGAGGAAACUGAGGUCUGAGGAGGUCUAAAAACCUGUCUAAUGCUAUACAAUAAGCUACAAAUGGCCUUGAACUAGAACUCCGCCUCCCAGGACUUGAUCUGUUGCCUCUCCCUUCCAAUGGCCUAUAGGGUCUGGCCGUGAUAUCUCACCCAUCCCCUACUCCAUUCUCCAGUCUUUCUGAAACUCUACCUUCUCUUCCAGCCUUUCAGUGUGCAGUGCUUCUGCCUGAAAACCUCCCCACCCCUUGCCCAGACCUUCAUUCUCUUUCCACUUGCCAAACUCCUAUGGAGCCUUUGGGUCUCAGCAGAGGUGCCUGGCAUGUGGUAUGAACUCAGUAACAUCUGUUGAAAUGAAUGAAUUAACUUAAUCCAGUACCACCCCCCUGCUUCCUCCCUGCUCCAAGUUGGGUUAGGGGCCCUCUGCUCCCACAGAGCCCCCAUUCUUUCCCUAUGCCCAGAGGCAACCCCUGUGGUAAACACUCUUCGCUGCCCUGAUCUCCAGCCAGCCUCCCUGUGGGGCUGCCUGCAACCUUCACAUCCUGACAGAUGUGACCACGCUGAGGGCAGCAGCUGGGGCUCCUUCUCCUUCUUACUCCCAUAGCAACCACCCUGCCUGGCACUUAUUAAGUACUUGUUGAAUGAAUGAAAAGAUGAAUAAAUGAAUAAUUCAAUGACACCAUUUUGCCUUCUCUACAACAUAGUCUUACAUCUGGUCAACAAAAAUUGGCCGAAUGUCCAAAUACUGCUAAAGGGGAACAUAACUCUUUAAGAUAAUCUUCAUCAAAGUAACAACAAAUUGAUGGUCAGGAAAUGCCUUUUUCACCCCAUCUCUCAGAGUCCACCAGGUGCAGGACACUCGGAGGAAUGAGUAUGAGGGGACAGGCCCAGAGGGUCCUCUUGCUCUCCUUCAGACACUCAGGUCCUGGGGUGACAUGACAGAGCAGGGGACCUGCCCGCCCAGGUCCCUGUCUCUGUCACUGGGCACCAUCCCCCAUCUGAUCACACAAACAUCUGAAGCCAGAGGAAAGACUAUAAAAAGAAAGCACCGGCAUUGAGGGAAACAUCCGGCGAGGAAGUGUGCUGAGUCGGAAUUGUGUGGAGUCAACAGAUUUUUCCUGUCUUGUAGCAAAUCUCCCAGCUGCUGUCCUUGCUGCAUCAGGGCCAAUUCCAGCCCAAACCAAACCACCGAGGAAAUAAGUACUUGGCCAAGCCAGGAGGCAGCAGGUAAGCAGCACGUAGCCCCCACAGGCAUCUCAAGGCCCCUACUGGCCGCCCCUCAUCACUGCAGCCUCUGUGAGUGAGGAAGGGUGAGCACAAGUCAGACACCGGUCCCCUGGGAGGGUGCAGCAGACAGCAUCCAUCCUCCCACCCUGGGAGUUUUGGUCGUGAGGUGACUGUAUUGAUAGUAUUUACAGGACCUAGAAGUCCUGUAGGACUAACUAGCUGUAUUGAUAAAUACCAUCAAUACAGUAGUCACCAAGGAAAUGACCUCAUCCCUGAGACUGUAUUUGUCCCAAUUACAGAGGUGCUGUAAAUUGCCUUUAUAUCUGUAACUGUCACCUCUCUUUCUCUUGACCCAUAAACAUAAUAUGAAGGCUCCCCACUAAAGACAUGGCUGUGUGGGCGUGUCCCUUUGGGCAAUCCUAGAAUUGAAGACACCUUAAGAGAACAUCAAAUCCAACUUCUUGUUACGGAUGGAGAAACUGAGGCUCUGAGUAGCUUGAUUCAAACCAGCUAUGUAAACUUGAGCAAGUGAGAUAAUCUCUCAGGACCUUGGUUUCCCCAUCUGUAAAACAGAACCCAUCCCAUUUCCCUUGUGGUAAUGGGGUGAGGAUUUCAUAAUCAAUUGUAUUCUAAGCCCAUAGCCCAGCAACUGACACAUAGUAGGUGCACACA
This 12052-nucleotide long non-coding RNA is filed under the name Homo sapiens (human). RNAcentral's name for it is "non-protein coding lnc-GNPDA1-2:2". The record is from RNAcentral. Lineage: Eukaryota; Metazoa; Chordata; Mammalia; Primates; Hominidae.